CCUACGGGAGGCAGCAGUAGGGAAUCUUCCACAAUGGGCGAAAGCCUGAUGGAGCAACGCCGCGUGGGUGAAGAAGGUCUUCGGAGCGUAAAACCCUGUUGUUAGAGAAGAAAGUGUGGGAGAGUAACUGUUCACGUGUCGACGGUAUCGAACCAGAAAGCCACGGCAAACUACGUGCCAGCAGCCGCGGUAAUACGUAGGUGGCCAGCGUUAUCCGGAUUGAUUGGGCGUAAAGGGAACGCAGGCGGUCUUUUAAGUCUGAUGUGAAAGCCUUCGGCUUAACCGGCGUAGUGCAGUGGAAACUGCGAGUCUUGAGUGCAGAAGAGGAGAGU
RNAcentral lists this ribosomal RNA (332 nucleotides) under uncultured bacterium. RNAcentral describes it as "partial 16S ribosomal RNA". It matches the Rfam family "Bacterial small subunit ribosomal RNA", at positions 338 to 662 of the family's 1533-position model. The record is from RNAcentral.